UGAGGAAUAUUGGACAAUGGGUGAGAGCCUGAUCCAGCCAUCCCGCGUGAAGGACGACGGCCCUAUGGGUUGUAAACUUCUUUUGUACAGGGAUAAACCCAGAUACGUGUAUCUGGCUGAAGGUACUGUACGAAUAAGCACCGGCUAACUCCGUGCCAGCAGCCGCGGUAAUACGGAGGGUGCAAGCGUUAUCCGGAUUUAUUGGGUUUAAAGGGUCCGUAGGCGGGCCCGUAAGUCAGUGGUGAAAUCUCGCAGCUUAACUGUGAAACUGCCAUUGAUACUGCGGGUCUUGAGUAAAUUUGAAGUGGCUGGAAUAAGUAGUGUAGCGGUGAAAUGCAUAGAUAUUACUUAGAACACCAAUUGCGAAGGCAGGUCACUAAGAUUUAACUGACGCUGAUGGACGAAAGCGUGGGGAGCGAACAGG
This 424-nucleotide ribosomal RNA is filed under the name uncultured bacterium. Its description in RNAcentral is "bacterial SSU rRNA". It matches the Rfam family "Bacterial small subunit ribosomal RNA", at positions 355 to 776 of the family's 1533-position model. The record is from RNAcentral.